This 432-nucleotide ribosomal RNA is filed under the name uncultured bacterium. RNAcentral's name for it is "partial 16S ribosomal RNA". It matches the Rfam family "Bacterial small subunit ribosomal RNA", at positions 29 to 506 of the family's 1533-position model. The record is from RNAcentral.
AACGAACGCUGGCGGCAGGCCUAACACAUGCAAGUCGAGCGCACCCUUCGGGGUGAGCGGCGGACGGGUGAGUAACGCGUGGGAACGUGCCCUUCUCUGCGGAAUAGCCUCGGGAAACUGAGAGUAAUACCGCAUACGCCCUUUGGGGGAAAGAUUUAUCGGAGAAGGAUCGGCCCGCGUUGGAUUAGGUAGUUGGUGGGGUAAUGGCCCACCAAGCCGACGAUCCAUAGCUGGUUUGAGAGGAUGAUCAGCCACACUGGGACUGAGACACGGCCCAGACUCCUACGGGAGGCAGCAGUGGGGAAUCUUAGACAAUGGGGGCAACCCUGAUCUAGCCAGGCCGCGUGAGUGAUGAAGGCCUUAGGGUUGUAAAGCUCUUUCAGCUGGGAAGAUAAUGACGGUACCAGCAGAAGAAGCCCCGGCUAACUCCGU